Long non-coding RNA from Bombus huntii, 1850 nucleotides. RefSeq lists it as uncharacterized. Lineage: Eukaryota; Metazoa; Arthropoda; Insecta; Hymenoptera; Apidae. The transcript has 2 exons. The record is from RefSeq and is a predicted model, not a curated record.
GUCCAAUAAUCUCGGAGUUUCUAAAUCUGUUUCCAAUAAUAUGUCUACUUAUUAUGUCUUUUCCCGUGAUGUUCAGAUGUGUUAAGUAGACCGUAAACGUUUAUGUAUUCGUGGGAGAUUGAAAAGUGUAAAAAUAUACGGAUAUAGUAAAAGUUAGUUAUAAUAUCUACUUCGUAGAACGAGUAUAUUUAAAGUUAAUUUUUUUUUACUUCACAUUCAUAAGAAUAUGAUGUUGCCUAGACAUUUGCAGUCUAGCGAUAGAUGUAGUUGGACGACGAGCAUGUUAAGAGAUUUUUGCAAGUAGAAAUCGGUUCCAAGAAUAGGAUAUUAGGAUGCAUAGUAACAAGCUGCCAAUUGACUAUACAAUGACACGCAGCAAGAAUGUAUUCUGCUUGUGAAAUCUUUAAGUGUACAUACAUUAUGAUUGGAAUAGAAAGAGUGAGGUAUGAGUCAUUAAACGGUUGUUCGAGAGUUAUGAUAUAAUCACGGACUACACAGAAUUAUUGAAAGGCGUCGUAGCAAUAAGGAAAUAACGUAUGUUUAUCUACUUAUGAGAGUGCACGAUUAUUGUUGCCUAAUCCAGUGACUCUAUAUAGCGUAUUUGCGAAGAAAGAAUUUUUUCUUGAUGAAACCGGUUCCAAUCGACAAGAAUUAAUCAGAAAUCGAUAAUAAUCCGAUGCUGAGAGGUCGAGGAUAAAAGGAACGCCGACUGAACGUUUUCUCGACCGCGUGGAUAGUCGGCCACAAAGGCCGGAUGCCAUCGGCGGUGCACGCAGGUGGGCACAGUUCUAAUGCCAGAGACGCUUUGCAUUGCACGUGGCAUUGCAAGGCCAACCGGCCACAAGAAAUCGUCGUCAGGAAUAUGGGGGCCUGGCGACCAGUUCGAGGCGUAGAAAACGCCGCCGCGAUGCGAACAGAUAUGUUUCGUUUCGAGAAAAAUCGGUUGCGUAAUCACGCGAUAUCAUCGCAAAAUCAUCGGCUACCUCCAUCAACCAACCAGUUUCCAUACGAGCAGUAUGUAGCCGUGUUCAGUCGAGACAGAUUACUGUAACGGAGCGAAACGGAGACGUUCAGUUCGCAACGAUGCCACAUAAAAUCGUCUGAUGUAAGUGGCAUGAUUUCACACCGGAGCACUUCACCAAAGAUUAUAUUUCUGAUAAUUGAAGAGUUCGUGAGAAUAACGAUUAAGUAGAGUGUCGUAAAAAGUAAAAUUUUUUAGUAUUUGGGGUUUCGUGAACUUCUUCUCGUUGUACAAAAUUCAAGGUUUAAUAUGUUCCUUUCUUACAAUAUAAAUGCCGCUUCAUCAAUAUUUAAAUUUUAAGAGAAGGAUUACGACUGUUUUCCCUCGGAAUACUUUAAUUGUUUUUCUUUCGCACGAGAAACCCGAGUUGUAGCGCAACAUGUGAUAAAGGUUUUAUUGUAUGCGGGAAAUGUAGUUCAUAGAUUAAAUAGUGACCCAGAUGUAAUUGAACUUAAUCCGGAGAUACCAAGAUAUGAGGAAACAUGAUAUUAAAUGGUAACUGAGAUUUAUUGGUGAAGAGAGAAUUAUUGAAAAUCAGAAGAAGAAAAAAGAAAAAAAAAGGAACAUUUAAUACUGGAACUAAAACCUUUUGAAAUGAGUGUCAUAUUUUUUGUGUUUGUAAUUACUAGAAACAUGCAGGUACUUUUAACGAAGUAAAAUAUUGACUGUUAUUGAAAAAUAAGCUAAAGUAAAAGAAAGUGUGUCGUUCGAAUAAUUAUAAGCGAUUUUUUGAAACCUUUAAAAUUGCAGUUUCGAUUUGAAAUGGAUUGUCACCGUUUUCCUGUUGAAACCUUCAAAUAUCAUCAAAUAUCAUUGUUUCUAAAAUAUA